CAGGGCUGGAACAGCGGUACCCGCAGACAGUGCAAAAGGGAAGUCCCUGUUGCCUUCCCAUGCAAACUGUAGGGCGCUUACAGCUGCUGGGAGAGGAAAGGAAAGAAGAAAUACAAGCCUGUGACCCGGAUCCAACCCGCGGCGCACAGACCCCGGCUCUGGGCACCCCUGGUGAGCGCCUUCUGCGCCAGAGCUCCGUACAGCACCAGCCCGCGCUCUCCCCCAGCUUCUGUUCAUUUGCUGCAGUCCUGACGGGUCAGUUGCCUGAGCAUCCAUGCUGCCAUCCAUACAAACCCAGGCACGCAGAGAUGUACAUCCUUUACCCAGGGUGACACCAUGUGGAGCUGAAUCCAAGUCCGGGAGUCUGAUGACCGUGUCUGGGCUCUGACCGCGCAGCCGUCUCACAGUGAAACAAAUUGCGGACUGGCCUUGUCCUGAGUGGCCUUAGGAAGCUGCAGUGGCCUGCAGUCUCCUGGCCAGUCUGUAGAAUUUGGCAAAGAUGAGGCACCUUAUAGCCUUACAUGUUCUUAUUUUUCUUUCCUUUUCUCUUCUUUAUUUUCUUUUUUAAGGAUUUGAAUUAGUAUAUGUAAAGUGCUUAACGCAGGAGCUGGCAGAGAAAGUGGAUACUCAGUAAAUAACAGCAAUUGUUAAUUGUAAAAAGCAUGCCACUUAUCUGGUAAAAUCCCCCAUUCUAAGCACCCUGUUAAGUAGUUGGUAAUUCCUCACUUGAAAGAAAUUAAAAAGAAUUUUUGUCAGUUUUUUAAAAUAUUGUUUUAUUGUGAUAAAAUAUUCAUAACAUAAAUUUCACUCUUUUAAUACUUUUUAAGUGUACAAUGCAGAUUAAUAAGAGAAAUGCAUACAAAUUUAUUAACGUGUACACGGGAAAAAUAAGGUGAUUACCCAAUAUCCCAUGAGGUCCAGAUACUUAUACAGCGUUUUUUCAGAGAGGAGGGUGGAAGGCGGAAUGUAGGUGAUUCUGUUGAGGGGCAAUAAAUUAUUAUUAAGGAGAAUGAAUGGGUCAAGAAACAGAGAGUUAUUCGUAAAUGGUUCUCUUUGAAAAUUUAAUAAGCUGGAGAAAUGGAUUAUUUUUUUGAAAGCGUCUGUUCAGGUGUGGUCACGUGUUGGUUUUCUUUUCUGCAAUAGAUAAUGAGAUAAGAGGGAGGAGAAGGAAAAGUAAUUGUUCUCUUUGGUGGGUCUGCAGGGUCUUCAUGUAGAUAAGGGAGAGGACUCUUCCAGCUUCUGUUGAUCUUGAGGGACUUUAAUUGAAAAUACUCAUACCAGGGAGCCAUAUUUUGGGGCCAAGUUCCCUGCGCUCCUUCAAUCCUCCUGUUUGGAACUUCCCUAGAAUUUCACAUUAUCAACAGCUGAAUCAGUGAUUAUGGAGAGAUUUGGGUUAGAGGAAAAGAAGGCAAAGAAGGGGAAAAAACAAAUUGGGAUAAGCAGAAAAGAAAAAUAAAUAAAUAUGUUGUCCCAUAUCUUCUUGAAUCAGUCUCUUAGUCCUAAGAGUAGAAGCAUUUGGUCAAACAGCUGUGUCCAUUCUAGGAGGUGGCACUACAGAGGGGCUGGGCUUCUACAGCUGAUGCAGGCAAGCUGGUCUUUAAUAAGAGGCAUUUCUAUGGAAACAAAGAAAAACAAAGGUU
Molecule: long non-coding RNA, 1640 nt
Organism: Homo sapiens (human)
Lineage: Eukaryota; Metazoa; Chordata; Mammalia; Primates; Hominidae
Source: Ensembl